Molecule: ribosomal RNA, 301 nt
Filed under: uncultured bacterium
Lineage: Bacteria
Description: partial 16S ribosomal RNA
Rfam family: Bacterial small subunit ribosomal RNA
Source: RNAcentral
CAGUCGCCGCGGUAAUACGGAGGGAGCUAGCGUUGUUCGGAAUUACUGGGCGUAAAGCGCACGUAGGCGGAUAUUCAAGUCAGAGGUGAAAGCCCGGGGCUCAACCCCGGAACUGCCUUUGAAACUAGAUGACUAGAAUCUUGGAGAGGUCAGUGGAAUUCCGAGUGUAGAGGUGAAAUUCGUAGAUAUUCGGAAGAACACCAGUGGCGAAGGCGACUGACUGGACAAGUAUUGACGCUGAGGUGCGAAAGCGUGGGGAGCAAACAGGAUUAGAUACCCCAGUAGUCCCUGUCUCUUAUAC